Podarcis lilfordi (Lilford's wall lizard) is the source of this 128-nucleotide non-coding RNA. The record is from the annotation of a GenBank genome assembly. Lineage: Eukaryota; Metazoa; Chordata; Lepidosauria; Squamata; Lacertidae.
UGUCCAGUAGCACCUUAUAGACCAACUAAGUUUGUUCUGGAAUAAGCUUUCAUGUGCAUUCAUACUUCUUCAGAUACCUGAAAGCUUAUACUAGAACAAACUUAGUUGGUCUGGGGUGCUACUGGACA